Molecule: ribosomal RNA, 400 nt
Filed under: uncultured bacterium
Lineage: Bacteria
Description: bacterial SSU rRNA
Rfam family: Bacterial small subunit ribosomal RNA
Source: RNAcentral
UGGGGAAUCUUGCGCAAUGGACGAAAGUCUGACGCAGCGACGCCGCGUGAGUGAUGAAGGCCUUCGGGUUGUAAAGCUCUGUGGGGAGGGACGAAUAAGUCGUGGCUAAUAUCCCCGAUGAUGACGGUACCUCCUUAGCAAGCACCGGCUAACUCUGUGCCAGCAGCCGCGGUAAGACAGAGGGUGCAAACGUUGUUCGGAAUUACUGGGCGUAAAGCGUGUGUAGGCUGCCAUGUAAGUCGGAUGUGAAAGCCCCGGGCUCAACCCGGGAAGUGCACUCGAUACUGCGUGGCUCGAGUCUCGGAGAGGUUGGUGGAAUUCUCGGUGUAGAGGUGAAAUUCGUAGAUAUCGAGAGGAACACCGGUGGCGAAGGCGGCCAACUGGACGAAGACUGACGCUG